RNAcentral lists this ribosomal RNA (478 nucleotides) under uncultured bacterium. RNAcentral's name for it is "partial 16S ribosomal RNA". It matches the Rfam family "Bacterial small subunit ribosomal RNA", at positions 28 to 523 of the family's 1533-position model. The record is from RNAcentral.
GACGAACGCUGGCGGCGUGCUUAACACAUGCAAGUCGAACGGUAAGGCCCUUCGGGGUACACGAGUGGCGAACGGGUGAGUAACACGUGGGUGAUCUGCCCUGCACUUCGGGAUAAGCCUGGGAAACUGGGUCUAAUACCGGAUAGGACCACUGCCUGCAUGGGUGGUGGUGGAAAGCUUUUGCGGUGUGGGAUGGGCCCGCGGCCUAUCAGCUUGUUGGUGGGGUGAUGGCCUACCAAGGCGACGACGGGUAGCCGGCCGGAGAGGGUGACCGGCCACAGUGGGACUGUGAUACGGCCCAGACUCCGACGGGAGGCAGCAGUGGGGAAUAUUGCACAAUGGGCGCAAGCCUGGCGCAGCGACGCCGCGUGAGGGAUGACGGCCUUCGGGUUGUAAACCUCUUUCAGCACCGACGAAGCGCAAGUGACGGUAGGUGCAGAAGAAGGACCGGCCAACUACGUGCCAGCAGCCGCCGUAA